ACCUGGAUGGCUCAGUCAGUAGAAUAUGUGACUCUUGAUCUCAGGGUGUGAGUUCGAGUCCCACACUGGGUG
RNAcentral lists this transfer RNA (72 nucleotides) under Felis catus (domestic cat). It matches the Rfam family "tRNA". Rfam says of the family: Transfer RNA (tRNA) molecules are approximately 80 nucleotides in length. Their secondary structure includes four short double-helical elements and three loops (D, anti-codon, and T loops). Further hydrogen bonds mediate the characteristic L-shaped molecular structure. tRNAs have two regions of fundamental functional importance: the anti-codon, which is responsible for specific mRNA codon recognition, and the 3' end, to which the tRNAs corresponding amino acid is attached (by aminoacyl-tRNA synthetases). tRNAs cope with the degeneracy of the genetic code in two manners: having more than one tRNA (with a specific anti-codon) for a particular amino acid; and 'wobble' base-pairing, i.e. permitting non-standard base-pairing at the 3rd anti-codon position. Lineage: Eukaryota; Metazoa; Chordata; Mammalia; Carnivora; Felidae. The record is from Rfam by way of RNAcentral.